RNAcentral lists this long non-coding RNA (1056 nucleotides) under Pan troglodytes (chimpanzee). Its description in RNAcentral is "lincRNA". Lineage: Eukaryota; Metazoa; Chordata; Mammalia; Primates; Hominidae. The record is from RNAcentral.
UCGCCCGGCUAAUUUUUUGUAUUUUUAGUAGAGACGGGGUUUCACCGUGUUAGCCAGGAUGGUCUUGAUCUCCUGACCUCGUGAUCCGCCCGCCUAGGUCUCCCAAAAUGCUGGGAUUACAGGCGUGUGCCACCGCGCCUGGCCUCAUCUCUUAAUUCGAGUAAUUUUACAUAAGCAACAAUGGGGUAAGGAGGAGAAAAGAAAGAAGGAAAAAUUGGAAAGAUAAAUGGGGUCUUUCCAGUGAAGGAACUUGGCAAAUGUAUUUGAUGUACUACUUGAUUUAACAUCUAUGCUUCCGAAUGUUUAUUAUAAAGAAAUUACCAAGGCUCAAUUUUCCUACAUAAUUAAGAGUUUGGAAUUUGGGCAAUAUCAAGAACCACAUCUGUCCUGAAAUCAAUUAUCUCUGUUUGAAACACAAGAAAUAAGAAGACCAUUUUGAGAAGAACAGAGAGUAGCCUUAAGAAAAUCCCUGUCGCAAGCACUCUGGGAUUUGGACUCAAAUGCUAAUUAUACAACGUUGGUGGACCAGCUUUAAAACCAACAAUGAUUUGUAACAUUGAUUCUUUGGGAAAGGGCAUUCGGGAUCCCACAUCACCAUCUAACAAAUGAAUUUUUGUAAGAAAACCCAUUGAGACAAGAUCAUGUUCUGUUGCUCAGGCUGGAGUGCAGUAACACAAUCAUAGCUCACUAUAACCUCAAACUACUGGGCUCAGGAGAGCCCCCCACCUCAGCCUCUCGAGUAGCUUGGACUACGGGAACCACUUGGGUGCCCAGCUGCUGUCCAUUCUCCACACUUAUCCCACCUGAUGGAACGCUGUUGAGAAAAACAUCACUGCAAUGCCUAAUAAACAGACAUGGGUCCCAGACCCAAUAAGAGUGAAACCAUCCCCCUAUUUAAAUGAUAUUAUGGCUGAUGAGAAAGACAAAUUAAUUUCUCUGUCCCUAGUAUUACACAAAACUUUGGAUACUGCCAUUGUUACAAUUUUAUUUUCCCCAGGAGCUCAGAGUCCCACCUUCAUUCUUUUUGUCUAAUGCUUAAGCUUGCCUGUCCACCUA